Molecule: ribosomal RNA, 460 nt
Filed under: uncultured bacterium
Lineage: Bacteria
Description: partial 16S ribosomal RNA
Rfam family: Bacterial small subunit ribosomal RNA
Source: RNAcentral
CCUACGGGAGGCAGCAGUGAGGAAUAUUGGUCAAUGGACGAGAGUCUGAACCAGCCAAGUAGCGUGAAGGAUGACUGCCCUAUGGGUUGUAAACUUCUUUUUUAUGGGAAUAAAAUGUUCCACGUGUGGGAUUUUGUAUGUACCAUAUGAAUAAGGAUCGGCUAACUCCGUGCCAGCAGCCGCGGUAAUACGGAGGAUCCGAGCGUUAUCCGGAUUUAUUGGGUUUAAAGGGAGCGUAGGUGGAUUGUUAAGUCAGUUGUGAAAGUUUGCGGCUCAACCGUAAAAUUGCAGUUGAAACUGGCAGUCUUGAGUACAGUAGAGGUGAGCGGAAUUCGUGGUGUAGCGGUGAAAUGCUUAGAUAUCACGAAGAACUCCGAUUGCGAAGGCAGUUCACUGGACUGCAACUGACACUGAGGCUCGAAAGUGUGGGUAUCAAACAGGAUUAGAUACCCCAGUAGUC